AAACAGAUGACCCAGGGAUCUUAUUAAAAUGCAGACUAUGACAGUAGGUGUGGAGUGGGAUAUGAGAAUCUACAUUUCUAACAAGUUCUCAGCUGCUGCUGAU
Molecule: microRNA precursor, 103 nt
Filed under: Marmota monax (woodchuck)
Lineage: Eukaryota; Metazoa; Chordata; Mammalia; Rodentia; Sciuridae
Source: RNAcentral